GGGGAACCCAAGUUUCAUAAGUCACCACGGGUGCAAGACUCGCCAUAGCCCGACUAUCAUUUUAAAGUCCGGACGAGUCAANUCUAGAAAAUAACAUGCUUAGGUUGUGUUUAUUAAACUGUUUGAUUUAAGUUAUUUAUUGUAUGUUAUAUACUUGAUGUGAUGCAUGUUUUUUUUUGUAUAAUUAGCUCACCCUUGCAUUUUUUUGUCUGUGUUUGUGCCAUGUCUGCUUGCUUGUUGUGUGUGCUUUCCUGUUGCAAUGAUCAUCCACUUGGAUGUGAGCAGAGGAAGGAGAGGUUUCACU
This 304-nucleotide long non-coding RNA is filed under the name Vigna radiata. Its description in RNAcentral is "long non-coding RNA (VRAD_LNC003102)". The record is from RNAcentral. Lineage: Eukaryota; Viridiplantae; Streptophyta; Magnoliopsida; Fabales; Fabaceae.